GACGAACGCUGGCGGCGUGCUUAACGCAUGCAAGUCGAACGGGCCCGCCCCUGUUUUUGGGGGUGGGUUGAGUGGCGAACGGGUGAGUAUCACGUGAGUAACCUGCCCCCUGCUCCUGGAUAACUGCUUGAAAGGGCGGCUAAUACGGGGUGUGCCGGCUGGUCCGCAUGGGCCUGGUCGGGAUAGUUUCAUCUUCGGGUGUUUCGGUGGGGGAUGGGCUCGCGGCCUAUCAGCUUGUUGGUGGGGUGAUGGCCCACCAAGGCGGUGACGGGUAGCCGGCCUGGGAGGGUGGGCGGCCACACUGGGACUGAGACACGGCCCAGACUCCUGCGGGAGGCAGCAGUGGGGGGUAUUGCACAAUGGGCGGAAGCCUGAUGCAGCGACGUCGCGUGAGGGAUGGAGGCCUUCGGGUUGUGAACCUCUUUCUCCGGUGGUGAAGGCCCUGUCCGUUGCGGCGGGGUUGACGGUAGCCGGGUAUGAAGCGCCGGCUAACUACGUG
Molecule: ribosomal RNA, 499 nt
Filed under: uncultured bacterium
Lineage: Bacteria
Description: partial 16S ribosomal RNA
Rfam family: Bacterial small subunit ribosomal RNA
Source: RNAcentral